Molecule: ribosomal RNA, 892 nt
Filed under: Phaeoacremonium sicilianum
Lineage: Eukaryota; Fungi; Ascomycota; Sordariomycetes; Togniniales; Togniniaceae
Description: eukaryotic LSU rRNA
Rfam family: Eukaryotic large subunit ribosomal RNA
Source: RNAcentral
GCAUAUCAAUAAGCGGAGGAAAAGAAACCAACAGGGAUUGCCCCAGUAACGGCGAGUGAAGCGGCAACAGCUCAAAUUUGAAAUCUGGCCUCGGCCCGAGUUGUAAUUUGCAGAGGAUGCUUUUGGCGCGGUGCCUUCUGAGUUCCCUGGAACGGGACGCCAGAGAGGGUGAGAGCCCCGUACGGUUGGCCGCCUAGCCUGUGUAAAGCUCCUUCGACGAGUCGAGUAGUUUGGGAAUGCUGCUCAAAAUGGGAGGUAUAUCUCUUCUAAAGCUAAAUACCGGCCAGAGACCGAUAGCGCACAAGUAGAGUGAUCGAAAGAUGAAAAGCACCUUGAAAAGGGGGUUAAACAGCACGUGAAAUUGUUGAAAGGGAAGCGCCUGUGACCAGACUUGUGCCUGGCGGAUCACCCGGGGUUCUCCCCGGGGCACUCCGCCUGGCCCAGGCCAGCAUCGGUUUCCGCUGGGGGAUAAAGGCUCUGGGAACGUAGCUCCUCCGGGAGUGUUAUAGCCCUCUGCGUAAUACCCUCGCGGGGACCGAGGUACGCGCUCCGCAAGGAUGCUGGCGUAAUGGUCAUUAGCGACCCGUCUUGAAACACGGAUCAAGGAGUCGUCCAUUAGAGCGAGCGUUUGGGUGUCAAACCCGCACGCGUAAUGAAAGUGAACGUAGGUGAGAGCUUCGGCGCAUCAUCGACCGAUCCUGAUGUCCUCGGAUGGAUUUGAGUAUGAGUUUUACUGGACGGACCCGAAAGAUGGUGAACUAUGCCUGUAUAGGGUGAAGCCAGAGGAAACUCUGGUGGAGGCUCGCAGCGGUUCUGACGUGCAAAUCGAUCGUCAAAUAUGGGCAUGGGGGCGAAAGACUAAUCGAACCAUCUAGUAGCUGGUUACCGCCGA